GCCCCCGUAUCCCAAUCGGCAGAGGAAAUCGCCUUAAAAGCGACUCAGUCUGGGUUCGAGUCCCAGCGGGGGCACCA
This 77-nucleotide transfer RNA is filed under the name Nocardioides piscis. RNAcentral's name for it is "Nocardioides sp. HDW12A tRNA-Leu". It matches the Rfam family "tRNA". Rfam says of the family: Transfer RNA (tRNA) molecules are approximately 80 nucleotides in length. Their secondary structure includes four short double-helical elements and three loops (D, anti-codon, and T loops). The record is from RNAcentral. Lineage: Bacteria; Bacillati; Actinomycetota; Actinomycetes; Propionibacteriales; Nocardioidaceae.